UGGUGAACCAGCGGAGGGAUCAUUACUGAGUUUACGCUCUAUAACCCUUUGUGAACAUACCUAUAACUGUUGCUUCGGCGGGUAGGGUCUCCGUGACCCUCCCGGCCUCCCGCCCCCGGGCGGGUCGGCGCCCGCCGGAGGAUAACCAAACUCUGAUUUAACGACGUUUCUUCUGAGUGGUACAAGCAAAUAAUCAAAACUUUUAACAACGGAUCUCUUGGUUCUGGCAUCGAUGAAGAACGCAGCGAAAUGCGAUAAGUAAUGUGAAUUGCAGAAUUCAGUGAAUCAUCGAAUCUUUGAACGCACAUUGCGCCCGCCAGCAUUCUGGCGGGCAUGCCUGUUCGAGCGUCAUUUCAACCCUCAAGCUCUGCUUGGUGUUGGGGCCCUACAGCUGAUGUAGGCCCUCAAAGGUAGUGGCGGACCCUCCCGGAGCCUCCUUUGCGUAGUAACUUUACGUCUCGCACUGGGAUCCGGAGGGACUCUUGCCGUAAAACCCCCCAAUUUUCCAAAGGUUGACCUCGGAUCAGGUAGGAAUACCCGCUAAACUUAAGCAUAUC
RNAcentral lists this ribosomal RNA (557 nucleotides) under Colletotrichum cf. siamense BDS-2013. RNAcentral's name for it is "eukaryotic LSU rRNA". The stretch from base 198 to 351 matches the Rfam family "5.8S ribosomal RNA". Lineage: Eukaryota; Fungi; Ascomycota; Sordariomycetes; Glomerellales; Glomerellaceae. The record is from RNAcentral.